UGGAGCUCUGAGUUCGAGGCCAGCCUGGUCUACAUGGCCUUGGUCUCUUAUGUGUCAGAUGAGGAGACAGGGGACCUGGUGGAGCUGUGAGGACUGCCUGGCAGACUCGGGGAGGAAGUCACCCUGGUAGGCUGCCUCACCUCUCCGAAGGUUCUUCAGGUGCUGAGCAUGGCUCCUGCUGUAAUUCCAACCAGCUGUCAUGAGAUGAACAGAUCUUUGCCCUGCAUUCCCCACCGUGAUGUACCAUGCCACCAAAAAGCAACAGAGACAAGAGACCACAGACUGAAGCCCACGAACCUCUGGCAUGUCCCUGAGCACAUCUGGAACUCGCUAUCUAGUCUCCUGCUGGGACUUUCACAGACACUUGGGGUACCUGGGGACCCAGAUAUAUCCUGCUAUCCACCCCUGUCCCUGCCUUACCUGGUGUUUCUGCUGCUCAGAGGCCACACCAUCCCACCACAGCCGGAAGAAUUCUUGCUCCACAGCGAUGAAGCGGCGUUGCCGCCCACGGGUCAGUUCGGCCACCACAGUGGUGUAAACAUUGGCUGCAUAGGACCGCAUGCUUUCCUGAGGAGGCAAACGCCAUCACAGAAACUCCAGAGAGGCUGAGGGCUGUGGUAAGCCCAAAGGACCAAAGAGAAGAUCCAGAGACCAAGUGUCCCGAUUUAUAAUACCCCCAGUGCACCCAGGCCUAAGGGGUAUGGGUAGGGAUCACCACUUUCUCUUUACAGCUGGGGAAACUGAGGCAAUGGAUUGGGGAAAAGCCGUCCUGUCCAAGGUUCUGAACAGAAAGACCCACGAGGUUGCAAGCCCAACCCCAAGCUUCUCAGGGCUGGGUGGUGGUGUGCAGAGGAAGCUGAACUGGCUAGCCCCUGUGUCAGCACCACAGAGGGCCAGCCCACUUCCCAGGAGUCAGCUGACAUUCACCUGCUUGGAAGCCAGCCGCACCUUAUGCUACUACUCCAGGCUUACUCCCGAAGACUGGUCACCUGUCAACCCACACUUUGGGGACACACUCUCCUGCCCUGACUUUUGUAGGGGCCAUCCAGUAAGAUGUGACUCCGAGGCAGGAAGUGACCAGCCCAGGGCUGCGGCUCAGACAGCAGGGUCCCAGGGUGGAGGCUGGAGCCCAGGCCACCUCCCGCUUCCCGGCUGGGCCGGGCGCACCCCGCAGAAGGCAGCUAGUGUGCAAGGGUCUCAGGAACGCCCGCCACUUACCUGGACAGUGUAGACCCAGCCCACGUCCAUAUGGCUGUGGGGCACCACGAAGGCCUGGAUGGGGCCGGCCGACCGGGCCGCCGGCGGCCGCAGCAGCAGCAGCAGCUGGCCGAGCAGCGGCAGCCAGCGCAGCGGCCCCAUGGCUUGGCGGGCUGGACGCUGCCCCGGCGGCGGGUCCCGGGCGGAGCGGCCCACUUCCGGGUCCGUGGACCGCGGCGCCCCCUGUCGGCGGGAGCGCGCGAGCGCAGCGAGCCGACGGGUGGAGCCCGAGCUUGUCCCGGUGCGGCGCCCCCUGUCGGCUGGAGUGCACGAUGCACCUCUCGUCUCCAGCUGGUGGCCUUACAGCCCAAGGCUGGUGCCCCAAGCCUUGGAGACUGCUUUUGUCUCCAGGAAGCCUUCCAGGACAACAAUCGCCUGCUUGCAGACCUCUAGCCUCAGGGUGGCUUGAUUUGGAACUCCUGAGUCCAUUCUA
Onychomys torridus (southern grasshopper mouse) is the source of this 1690-nucleotide long non-coding RNA. RefSeq lists it as uncharacterized. The transcript has 4 exons. NCBI's taxonomy places the organism in Eukaryota, Metazoa, Chordata, Mammalia, Rodentia, Cricetidae. The record is from RefSeq and is a predicted model, not a curated record.